GCCCAGGUAGCUCAGGUGGUAGAGCAGUGGACUGAAAAUCCUCGUGUCGGUGGUUCAAUUCCGCCCCUGGGCACCA
This 76-nucleotide transfer RNA is filed under the name Rhodospirillales bacterium. Its description in RNAcentral is "tRNA-Phe". It matches the Rfam family "tRNA". Rfam says of the family: Transfer RNA (tRNA) molecules are approximately 80 nucleotides in length. Their secondary structure includes four short double-helical elements and three loops (D, anti-codon, and T loops). The record is from RNAcentral. Lineage: Bacteria; Pseudomonadati; Pseudomonadota; Alphaproteobacteria; Rhodospirillales.